CUUAUUCAAAUGGGAAACAAGUAGACUAAACAUUCGGCUUAUUCAAUCAGGCAUAGCUAAAAUAAAAUGCCGGCUUUAUACCAAGUUAUUAAACGGACCCAAACAGCUGAUGUAACCAGCUACUGCAAUGCAAACAAUGGAACCCUAAUCGUUCGAUUCGUCAACCGGUACAGAGAUGGCCAAUACAAAAGGAAUACACAGGUGCUCGGUAGAAGGAUAUGAACCGUUCUAUUCUGAAUUCCACAAGAUAUGUAAAAACAAUAUAGGUACUCAGUACAAGACACCUUAAAUUUUGCUUUUAUCCUGGAGACCUAGCGAUGCUGUUGUACUUUUCUGGAGUUCCCCAAACCAACUUCAGCGAGAGUUUGGUACUUUCCCUAAUUGCUUACUGUGUUCUGCAGAAUCAAGACAAAGUAAAUGGAAAAAGAUAAGUCAGAAGAGAGGUAAUUCGAGAAACGUAAUACACUAAGUUCAAUUUCCAUAAAACAUGCAUAUUAAAGAUCCUAUGCGGAUAUGUUAAAUGUUUCAAGUUAUCAGUUCAGAACUAAGAGCUCCCGUCUGUGGUAGUAAGUUAUCA
Molecule: long non-coding RNA, 577 nt
Filed under: Linum usitatissimum (flax)
Lineage: Eukaryota; Viridiplantae; Streptophyta; Magnoliopsida; Malpighiales; Linaceae
Description: long non-coding RNA (LUSI_LNC002148)
Source: RNAcentral